UACGGAGGAUCCGAGCGUUGUCCGGAUUGACUGGGCGUAAAGCGCACGCAGGCAGAUGCGCGCGUGGGGUGUGAAAUCUGGCCGCUUAACGGCCAGGCGCCAUCCCAUACGGCGCGUCUGGAGUGAUGCAGAGGUCGGGUGGAAUUGCCGGUGUAGUGGUGAAAUGCGUAGAGAUCGGCAGGAACACCCAGGGGGAACCAGCCGAC
This 206-nucleotide ribosomal RNA is filed under the name uncultured bacterium. Its description in RNAcentral is "partial 16S ribosomal RNA". It matches the Rfam family "Bacterial small subunit ribosomal RNA", at positions 524 to 729 of the family's 1533-position model. The record is from RNAcentral.